CGAUCAUUUGUACGUUAGUCAACAGAAGAAGACACCGGCUAACUCCGUGCCAGCAGCCGCGGUAAUACGGAGGGUGCGAGCGUUAAUCGGAAUUACUGGGCGUAAAGACGCAUGCAGGUGGUUUGUUUAAGUUACAGAUGUGAAAGACCCGGGGCCGUCAACCUCGGAACUGCAUUUGAAACUAGGCAGACUAGAGUACUGUAGAGGGGGGUAGGAAGUUUCUAGGUGUAGCGGUGAAAUAGCGUAGAGAUCUGAAGGAAUACCGGUGGCGAAGGCGGCCCCCUCGGACAGAUACUGACACUCAGAUGCGAAAGCGUGGGGAGCAAACAGGAUUAGAUACCCUGGUAG
RNAcentral lists this ribosomal RNA (348 nucleotides) under uncultured bacterium. Its description in RNAcentral is "bacterial SSU rRNA". It matches the Rfam family "Bacterial small subunit ribosomal RNA", at positions 461 to 793 of the family's 1533-position model. The record is from RNAcentral.